Molecule: long non-coding RNA, 2528 nt
Organism: Anguilla anguilla (European eel)
Lineage: Eukaryota; Metazoa; Chordata; Actinopteri; Anguilliformes; Anguillidae
Exons: 4
Source: RefSeq, a predicted model, not a curated record
UGAAUAUAUAUGGAAUAUCAAGCCCCUGCCAUAGACUGUAUAAAAAUCAUAGGCUGCAUAAAAGUACACGACACGGCAGCCAUUUUGUGCCAGAACGCUCAUCACACAUCAAAGUUUUCAAGGGGCUGAUGGGAGAUGUGGGAGAAUCCUCGGGUUUUCAAACAUGCAUCAACUUCUCUAGCUCAAUCUGAACUGCACCUCCCAUUGUGCUCUGUGAUAUGUAAUAGACGAGCUAACUUUUGAAUGAGACAAACGGGGGCGAUGUUGGUGUUCUACAAAUAGUUGGUGUUCUGUCUUCGUUCAAGCUAUUGAAAAGGAACACUGGCGUUUAUGCAUGCUACAAUGAGGAAACAGGAUCAAGCUCUCCUCUACCCCCUCUGUUGAAAAGGAACACUGGUGCUUAUGCAUGCUGCAAUGAGGAAACAGGAUCAAGCUCUCCUCUACCCCCUAUCAGUGAAAAUGUAUAAGAGUAUGGGGUACAUUCCCCAACCCCGUACAGGGUACACCCACUGCCCUCAGAUGCACUGUGAUAAGGCACACUUCAGAAAUGCAGAGACUCACAACAUGUUCUGCAUACAUGCAUCGCACAUCUUGAUAUAGGCCGUCUCUAAGAACAGUGUGUUCUGUGUGAAAGUGAAUGGUGGGACAUGGGUAAAAUGAGGGAGCGUUUGAUGACAUUUCAUUUGAAUGUUUACUCAGUGAUUAGUGUUAAUUGAUGUUUUUUUUCUUGUUUAAUAUUAUUAAUUCAAUGAUUUGUUUUUUUAAGCUCACAAGAAAUGGAAGACACAAGAAGUCAAUGUCUCAAUCCAUUCAGAGUCUACAUGGCUGUAUCAGUGAAUUUGUGAUAUACGUUUUCUGCUGGUGAAAGCAUGCUCAUAGUCAAACCACUUUUAGAUACUGUGUGUAUAUUUACCUUCUAUUUCCUGAAUUGAUAUUUUGCAAAUUUCUUUAGAAAAGUACCUCCUGAGUCUCUGCAUUGUGUUUGUGUUCCACCACCAAGGUGCUUCAUUUACUAUUUCAGGAGAGGCCAUUUCCGAUUUUCCCGCUAAUUUCACUUAAGAGAAAGAGAGAAUCCAUUAUUUAUGGCCAUUCCGGUGAAAGUGUUCUUUGUUCCGAGCGAAGAUGUGAUGAUGUCAGAGGUCAGCGGCGCCACGGCAGGCAAUCGAGACUGAUGGAGACCUGCAGGGCGGUUUUUCCGUUGACUGCGGGCGCUGAGCGGAAGAGGACACGGGAUACGCGGCUUUAUCGCUCUGCGGGUCGGCACUGCAGAGCAGAACUGCCCGCGUCUCCAGGACCCGCCAGCGCUCGCGGCCUGAAAUUAUUGCGUUGCGCUGCAUGACAUUAUUUAUUUACACUGCCAGUUUGGCGGCGGCCCUCAGUCAUUACAACUUAAACAGUUUGUGCAUGAAUACGGGUCGAAUGAUUUAAUCAAUGAUUUAAAGCUGUAGGUUAACCUCCGCGUCCGUGGGCGGGGCCGGAGUGCCCUCUCUGCUCUGCAUGAAUCUCGGUUUAAAAGCCCAGACUUUCACUCGCGUAACACGUGCUGGCGCGGGACGAGAGCGGAGCUGCUCUUUGUGCUGUUUUUAGUAAAAGGAGAGCUGAGUCUGAGGGUGACUCUCCUCUCCUCGUUUGUAAAUUCAAAAACAGCCAGACACCAUCACUCUGCAGUGGCACCCUACCGAUUAUCAAAAUCGAAUGCAAAUUCAGAUAAGCUUCCCUGGCAAGACAAUGAUCCCAUCAUUUAAGGGCGCUGGUCUUUGUCCAUGAGCCAGAAUACUAUUAGCUUAAUACGAUGUUGAUUUAUUUCAGUUGUCUGCAUAAACGUCUGUUGUUCAAGGCAAGUGGGAAGAAAAGAAAUAUGCUUCUGUACUGUUCUGGAAUUAUUGGCAGAGGUGGAUCCACGAAGAGCUGCUUGAUUAGUCUAACUGGUUUAAUGGCCUUAAUUGGUGAAAUGGAUUUAAUUUCUUUCUCCAUAAUUGCUGUACGCUUUUAACCCUUUCCUGCAAAGUGACUCUGCACCUCGGCAGGUCUGCCCCUUUGGCUCUUUCUGCGUGUUUGUGCAGGACGACCUGCUGCAGACCGCCAUGGGACCGCCUGCCAAGCCUGUUAUAACGUUUGGCUCAUUUCCUGUGGCAUCCUAUCGUGGAUUGCAUUUACUGUGCUUUAUGCCUGGGGUGCGUUUUAGUCAGGGAAUGGAGAGCAUGCAUUUGGAUCCUCUAUUCAUUUUGAAUCCAUAAAUAUCGACUUAUCAGAUUUCUCAUAGAAUAUCAGAAAGGUUCGUUGAGCUUUUUUUUUUUUUUACUUCAGUAACAGAAGCUGUGGUUUGUCCGUGGCUCACUCUUGGAUGAAAGGCUCAAGUCAUUUGCUGAAAGUUGAAAAGUAGGAUGAAGGAGCUCCAGAAUUUAGCACAGCGUUUUCCUUCCUUUGAAACCAAAGGGAAGAGGGUUAAAGGGUUUGUUCAGUGUUUAUCUCGUCACACAGCAAAUGUGGUCCUAUCUUUAAUAUUUUAAAUAAAGUGCAUGAACAUC